This 75-nucleotide transfer RNA is filed under the name Actinomycetota bacterium. RNAcentral describes it as "Actinobacteria bacterium (freshwater metagenome) tRNA-Val". It matches the Rfam family "tRNA". Rfam says of the family: Transfer RNA (tRNA) molecules are approximately 80 nucleotides in length. Lineage: Bacteria; Bacillati; Actinomycetota. The record is from RNAcentral.
GGGCGAUUAGCUCAGGGGCAGAGCACUUCCUUGACGCGGAAGGGGUCAGAGGUUCAAAUCCUCUAUCGCCCACCC